RNAcentral lists this unclassified non-coding RNA (3834 nucleotides) under Ixodes scapularis (black-legged tick). RNAcentral's name for it is "vacuolar protein sorting-associated protein 8 homolog, transcript variant X1". The record is from RNAcentral. Lineage: Eukaryota; Metazoa; Arthropoda; Arachnida; Ixodida; Ixodidae.
UUUAGGCCAGGCUCGGCUACUUGGACGCUGGAGCGCUGCGGCUCCGUCGGCUUUUGGCGAAAUGGACGAAACAGCCAAGUUUUUAGAUCAGAACGAUCUAUCGGGGAAAGGUUCUCGCAACCCGUCAAACGCUUCUGAAGAGGACGCAUUAGGUUUCAACAUUGAAGAAUUGGACGAUAAGGAAUAUGAACUUCCUGCCGUGCAGAACCCCCCGACGUUGGAAAGCAUUUUAAAUGAGGCCGAAGGAGGCUCCCUUAGCGAUGAAGAAGUAUCGACCCAAGUCGGCGCUUUCUUCCAAGAAACCGGCGACUCGAUGUCAGUCAGUAGCGUCGACUCCAAGAACAUACUGGGUGACAAAAAGGCACGGAAGAGUUCACAUUACGCUCGGCACGACAGCAUUAUGCGACAUGUUGUUUUGCGAGGAGUCUCCUCCCAGCUGCAGUCAGCGGCUCAGCGUGUCGACUCGGGGAAACCGACUGCCCUGGCAGUGUCAUCUGUGAUUGCCGUCGGGACCUUCCAUGGCUUGGUGCUCGUAUUUGAUCCUGAUCAAGCCUUGAAAUGGUGUCUGGGAAGCAGGCAACUCGGAGAGCAGUACGGGUCGGUGUCUGCUCUUGGCUUCAACAGCGAUUGCACGAGGCUCCUCUGUGGCUAUGCCAAGGGUCAGCUGACCAUGUGGGAUCUUACCAGUGGGAAGCUGCUUCGCACCAUCACAGACAUUCAUCCUCCCCAGACGGCCAUUUUGCAUGCCAAGUUUACAGAUGACCCCACUUUGGCAAUCUGCAGCGACAGUGGCGGCUCAGUGUUUGAGCUCAACUUCAGGAAGGUCCUCAACAACCGCACUUGCGAAUCCGUUUGCAUCUUUUCUGGAAGUCGGGGCGAGGUUUGUGCUGUCGAACCGCUGCGAGUGGGCCAGGAAAUUCGCCACCAUCCAGCCCAUGAUGUCUCCCUCCUGGCUCUGGGCACUGUCACCAAGGUGAUUGUAGUCACCGUGCGGCCAAUCCUUCGUGUACGCUUCACUCAUCCACUGAAGGCUGAUCCUGACACUUUGCCGCUGCUGAGCUGGCAGUUCGUGGUUAUCCAGGUUUCAGCUGCGACGCGCAUCAUUGACCCCGUCCUUGCUUUUGGUCGCCAAAAUUUGCUCUUCUUCUUCCAGGUGAACAUUUCCAGUCCCGACAAGAUUCUCUUCAUCCCGCUUCAGAAGAUUGAAUUGCAGUACACUGUGCAGACCUUUACAUGGCUGAACUCUCGCACUUUGGCUGCCUUGGACACUUCAGAGGACUUGCACAUUUUGGAUGUGCGCUCGCAGGAGGAGCUAGAGACCCUAGACAUGGCAGAUGUUCAGAUGGUGUAUGGCACAAGCCACUUCAAGGGACAUGCAACGGGUGGAAAUGUCAGCAAGGCCAUGGCAGCUGCUGGUGAGCGAGCCUGCUAUCACUCUGUUGCUGGAUUUGGUUCCCAAGUCCUUUUCUUGGGCGUCAAGUCCAUUCACGUGUUGACACUGAGAACCUGGCUGGAAAGGAUUGAUUUUCUCUGCAAGCAGAACUUGUAUCCGGAUGCUCUUGCAUUGGCAUACAGUUUUUACAACGACGAAGCCAAGGCUGUGUCGGGUCUGGUGGGCAAGAAGGCGCACCGCCAGCAGCAGGUUGCCCGCAAGAUGGAGGAGCUGCUGACGACUUUUGCGGAGCUCCUGAUGACGCGGCUGAACCCGGACCACGGCCGCCUGGAAGUGCUCCUGGCGCACUAUGCGGAGACGGUGCCGCUGUGUGUGCGCUACUGCCUGGCCGUCGAGUUCAGCGAGGAGCUGUUUGAAAAGCUCUACAGCACGUUGGGCGCGGAUCCACUGGCCAAGGGCUGCUUCCUCGAGAGUCUGCCCCAGCACAUCUUGGACGGGCGGCUGUCGCGUCUGGGGCCCCAGUUGGCCAAGGAGUUUGUUCAGCAGCUGGCGAGCAAGCACCAGUUUGAGAUGCUCGAGGCUUGCCUAGUGCGGCUGGACAUCGCCUGCCUCGACAUUCACCAGGUGAUGACCCUGUGUUGGACCCACUGCCUCUACGAUGCCAUUAUCUAUGUCUACAACCGUGGCAUGAACGACUACACCACUCCCAUUAAGGAGCUGAUGGCAGUCCUGCGGGAGGCCUUGAAGCACGGAAAGCAACUGACGGACAAUCAAAUGAUGCUGGGAAACAAACUGCUCGUUUAUGUCAGCUGCUGCCUGGCAGGGCGAGGCUAUCCUCAUGGUGACAUUGAUUCAUCGAGAGUGGCAUCUGUCAAGGCUGAGGUGUUUCAGUGCAUCACGGCUCUUCACGGAGCUGGUGCCGAUGAUGACAGCAUCUUUCCAUACCUAAAGGCACUUCUCCACUUCAGCACACGAGAGUUUCUAAACGUUCUUGCUCUGGCGUUCGAGGAAGAGGAGUUCACCACUGAAUCUGGCUUGGCCCAGAAACAGAGGGUUGUGGACAUCCUGCUUCAGAUCAUGGUCCAAAGUGAAGGCUUUUCGCCGACCGAGGUGGGUGCCCUGUUCACGUUCCUGGCGAGACAGCUGGCCAGACCAGACAACACGCUCAUAGUCAACCGGCUGCUUUUUGAACAGGUUCUGGAGUACCUGACGAACCCUGACGAUGAGACCAGGAUGGAGGAGCGUCAGCAGGCGCUCUUGGAGCUCCUCCAGGCAGGUGGAUUUGUGGGCAUCGAGGACAAUCGUCUUCUGCAGCUCUCCGAGAAGGCCAAGUUCUAUAGAGUGUGUGAGUACCUCUAUGAGAAGAGGAGGCAGUACGACAAGAUCUUCCUCUGCUACUUGGAGGAUCCAUCUCGAAAGCCAAGAACCUUCUAUUAUGCCAUGCAAGUGUUUGAGAGUCACAACAUCAGUGAGCAGGAGAAAACCUCAUUGGAGAACCAACUGAUUGAAAGCAUUGAGGAGCUGCUAGAUAUAGAUAACACGGCAACUUCACAGUUGAUGCUUCAGUAUCUGGCACAUCGGGUGGAUGACGUUAUGCGGAAGUUAGAGGGCCGGCCCGAGGUCUUGUACCAGUUUCUUCAAGGCGUCUGGAACAGUAGGGAAUUGCAAAGCUCGUCUGCAGCCCAAAGCAUAGUUCCCGGGGCCAAGGACUCUCGUGGGCUGGCUGCCGAGGUCCAGGAGAAAUACAUCGACCUCAUGUGCCAGUUUGAGCCCGGUGCUGUUCACCAGUUCAUCUCCUCGUUUGAUGGUUACCGCCUGGAAGAAACACUGGAGAUCUGCCGUAGACACAAAGUCUGUGAUGCUACUGCAUAUCUCUUGGAAAGGGCCGGAGACAUUCAAGGAGCAUUCUCAAUCUUGCUCGAGGUUCUGCGAGAGAAGCUUAACAAGUAUGCUGAGCUGAAGCGGGAUGCCAGCCAUAAGUUUGAAAUGGAUGCAGUAUUCAAUGCCAUAGAUGCCCAGCUGUGCACUGUUGUACAACUAUGCCAGCGUAGCUCCAGCAAGAUGGACACAGCAGAACGAGAGGCCCUGUGGUUUCCACUUCUGGAAGUGGUCAUGGCCCCACAGCGGGAGCUGCGUACACUUCUCGGCCCUGAGCAACUUGGCGACUUCCAAGCCCUGACUCAUCACCUUUUGGGCAGCAUGAUGGGAUUUGUAGCACUACCGCACAUUCUGCAUAAGUUGAUGCAGAUUGCAGGAAGUACAUGUACUCAUCAUUCCCAAUGUGGCGACGUACCGUGGGCUGGACGACGCUAUGGUGGCACAUGACAGACCAACGUUGCGACGGAUGUGGGGCCGCUGCUUCGGAACUGUCGUUCGUGGACCCUGUGUACAGCUCGGGGAAGUUUGGUGAAGUGAGGGACUUCAUCAUGAAGAUGCUAGAC